Molecule: long non-coding RNA, 733 nt
Organism: Pyrus x bretschneideri (Chinese white pear)
Lineage: Eukaryota; Viridiplantae; Streptophyta; Magnoliopsida; Rosales; Rosaceae
Exons: 2
Source: RefSeq, a predicted model, not a curated record
UUUUGUGUUUUUUUUUUUUUUUUCCAGGUGUGAAGUUUGAAGCUUGCUGUUUGGUUCUACUUUUGUGUUUCUGUGGUUGGCUAGCGCUUUUAUGUUGCCUCAUGUUGGAGAAAAGGAAAGAGGAAAGGUUUGGUGAAAGCGUCUCUGAACCCACCGGCUGCCCGGAUGUGUUCUUGCAGCAAAUAACCGGCGAUGAGAAGACAUUACAACAUCAAUCCAGUCGCCCCUCACAGUGUCCGCAGAUAAAUUAGGAGCAACCACUAUAAGAAGAAUCAACGCUCCCGGCAGUUCCAGCCAGUCUGGAGGUUAUAUAUCAUCAUAGUUAGUGACCACAACCGUAAACAGAAUGGGAUUAGUAAGCAACAAUUUUUGUCUAGAUCGCCUGCUAAUCAACCCCAUCGGCUUUGUCAGUGGCUGCCAAUAUUCUCUGUUCUUUUGGUUCAAUUCACAUUGGAGGUGUGGUUCUAAUGCUUAUGUACCCACAGCAAAACGGACUCGGACAAAAGGAUGACCCGGGAACCAACUCGUCGCAAAAGACGAUCCAUCCCGAGCUACUAGAGCUUCAAUAUGUUGUAGUAACCCCAUUAAACAGGCGACAGCCAUGUUCAACUUGAGACACCAAGUGUAGUGAUAGAACCCCGUUCAAACCCUAUCUCAGAGUUUCAAGUAGAGUAGAACACCAAUAAUGUUCUUUUUUCGGUCAUGAACAAUGAUAUAUAAUUUGUAUACACAA